This 1034-nucleotide ribosomal RNA is filed under the name fungal sp. Its description in RNAcentral is "eukaryotic LSU rRNA". The stretch from base 456 to 1034 matches the Rfam family "Eukaryotic large subunit ribosomal RNA", at positions 1 to 591 of the family's 3401-position model. The record is from RNAcentral. Lineage: Eukaryota; Fungi.
GAGUUUACAACUCCCAACCCCUGUGACAUACCAAUUGUUGCCUCGGCGGAUCAGCCCGCUCCCGGUAAAACGGGACGGCCCGCCACAGGACCCCUAAACUCUGUUUCUAUAUGUAACUUCUGAGUAAAACCAUAAAUAAAUCAAAACUUUCAACAACGGAUCUCUUGGUUCUGGCAUCGAUGAAGAACGCAGCAAAAUGCGAUAAGUAAUGUGAAUUGCAGAAUUCAGUGAAUCAUCGAAUCUUUGAACGCACAUUGCGCCCGCCAGUAUUCUGGCGGGCAUGCCUGUUCGAGCGUCAUUUCAACCCUCAAGCCCAGCUUGGUGUUGGGACUCGCGAGUCAAAUCGCGUUCCCCAAAUUGAUUGGCGGUCACGUCGAGCUUCCAUAGCGUAGUAGUAAAACCCUCGUUACUGGUAAUCGUCGCGGCCACGCCGUUAAACCCCAACUUCUGAAUGUUGACCUCGGAUCAGGUAGGAAUACCCGCUGAACUUAAGCAUAUCAAUAAGCGGAGGAAAAGAAACCAACAGGGAUUGCCCUAGUAACGGCGAGUGAAGCGGCAACAGCUCAAAUUUGAAAUCUGGCUCUCGGGCCCGAGUUGUAAUUUGUAGAGGAUACUUUUGAUGCGGUGCCUUCCGAGUUCCCUGGAACGGGACGCCAUAGAGGGUGAGAGCCCCGUCUGGUUGGAUGCCAAAUCUCUGUAAAGUUCCUUCGACGAGUCGAGUAGUUUGGGAAUGCUGCUCUAAAUGGGAGGUAUAUGUCUUCUAAAGCUAAAUACCGGCCAGAGACCGAUAGCGCACAAGUAGAGUGAUCGAAAGAUGAAAAGCACUUUGAAAAGAGAGUUAAAAAGUACGUGAAAUUGUUGAAAGGGAAGCGUUUAUGACCAGACUUGGGCUUGGUUAAUCAUCUGGGGUUCUCCCCAGUGCACUUUUCCAGUCCAGGCCAGCAUCAGUUUUCGCCGGGGGAUAAAGACUUCGGGAAUGUGGCUCUCUUCGGGGAGUGUUAUAGCCCGUUGUGUAAUACCCUGGCGGGGACUGA